Molecule: transfer RNA, 98 nt
Filed under: Moritella sp. JT01
Lineage: Bacteria; Pseudomonadati; Pseudomonadota; Gammaproteobacteria; Alteromonadales; Moritellaceae
Also listed under: 1 other name
Description: tRNA-Ser
Rfam family: tRNA
About the family: Transfer RNA (tRNA) molecules are approximately 80 nucleotides in length. Their secondary structure includes four short double-helical elements and three loops (D, anti-codon, and T loops). Further hydrogen bonds mediate the characteristic L-shaped molecular structure. tRNAs have two regions of fundamental functional importance: the anti-codon, which is responsible for specific mRNA codon recognition, and the 3' end, to which the tRNAs corresponding amino acid is attached (by aminoacyl-tRNA synthetases). tRNAs cope with the degeneracy of the genetic code in two manners: having more than one tRNA (with a specific anti-codon) for a particular amino acid; and 'wobble' base-pairing, i.e. permitting non-standard base-pairing at the 3rd anti-codon position.
Source: RNAcentral
GGAGGGGUGGCAGAGUGGCCGAAUGCACUGGUCUUGAAAACCAGCAGGGGUUANNGGUUAAUAGCUCCUCGAGAGUUCAAAUCUCUCCUCCUCCGCCA